AUGGUGGGGUCGCCCACGAAGCGGCUGGCGCGGCGGGUGAUGAGGAGGCCGCUGGAGAAGGCCGGGAUGGUGGGGCUCGCCGUGGUGGCCACGGCCACCGCCGCGCUGCUGCUGCUCGUCUGUGCCGCCUCGCUCCGCUGCUCCGCCGCCGUCGACUACGCGCUCGCGGCGCCCAGGAGGCUCUGGAGCGGCGGGGUCUCCAUCGCGGCCGAGGCGUCGCCGUCGCCGUCGGCGGAGAGGGGGAGCGGCGCCGUUAAGAAGGCGGCGGCGGCGGCGGCGGCGAUGGUGGUAGGGGAGGAGUGCGACCUGUUCGACGGGAGUUGGGUGUGGGAUGACACCUACCCGCUCUACGAGUCCAAGGACUGCCCCUUCUUAGACGUCGGGUUCCGGUGCUCGGAGAACGGCCGGCCGGACGCUUCCUAUGUCAAAUGGCGGUGGCAGCCGUCGCGCUGCGAUCUACCCAGAUUCGAUGCCAAAUUUAUGCUCGAGAAGCUACGGAAUAGAAGGGUGGUAUUUGUUGGUGAUUCAAUUGGAAGGAACCAAUGGGAGUCUCUGCUUUGUAUGCUCUCUAGUGCUGUUCCUAACAAGAAGUCCAUCUAUGAAAUUAAUGGGAGUCCCAUCACAAAGCACAUGGGUUUCUUGAUUUUCAAGUUUAGCGACUACAAUUGCACUGUGGAGUAUUACAGGUCUCCUUUUAUAGUCCUUCAAGGCCGUGCACCAGCUGGAGCCCCUAAGGUUGUUAAGUACACAGUUAGGGUGGACGCCAUGGAUUGGAUGUCGGGCCGCGGUAAGUGGAGCAGUGCUGAUAUUUUGAUCUUUAACACUGGGCAUUGGUGGAACUACGAGAAAACUAUCCGAGGGGGUGCCUAUUUCCAAGAAGGAAGUGAGGUCAAGAUGGAGAUGACUAUUACUGAUGGGUACCAAAAAUCAAUACGGACACUAUUCAAUUGGCUUCACAAAGAAGUUAACACAAGCAAGACCCACGUCAUCUUCCGUACUUAUGCUCCUGUGCACUUCAGAGGUGGUGACUGGAGGAGUGGAGGGAGUUGCCACUUGGAAACUCUUCCUGAUGCGACACCAGUUAAAUCACUGGAGCAAUGGGCUGACAUGCUUCAACCUGUGCAUAAUUUUCUUGGGAGCAGCAUCAGACCCAAGCUACCUGGGUUAGCUAUAUUGAACGUGACACAGAUGACAUCACAGCGAAAAGAUGGUCACCUCUCAGUAUACCUCAGCCCUUCAGGGCCUGUCCCUCUGCACAGGCAGGAUUGCAGCCAUUGGUGCUUGCCUGGAGUUCCUGAUACCUGGAACGAGCUUCUGUAUGCUGUCUUCAUGAAAAGGCAAACGGUGAUGGACCAAAAUGUUUCUCUUGCUGGCUCAACAACACUGAACACAGGCUGA
RNAcentral lists this ribosomal RNA (1398 nucleotides) under Triticum aestivum (bread wheat). Its description in RNAcentral is "partial small subunit ribosomal RNA". Lineage: Eukaryota; Viridiplantae; Streptophyta; Magnoliopsida; Poales; Poaceae. The record is from RNAcentral.